This is a long non-coding RNA of Sebastes umbrosus (honeycomb rockfish), 1160 nucleotides long. RefSeq lists it as uncharacterized. NCBI's taxonomy places the organism in Eukaryota, Metazoa, Chordata, Actinopteri, Perciformes, Sebastidae. The transcript is spliced from 5 exons. The record is from RefSeq and is a predicted model, not a curated record.
GUGUCCUCUGUUUAACCAAAGUCAGUCUCGUUGUGCUGAUGAGAAGGACCACUUAAAGUAUAAUGUAGUAUAGCAGCUCUCUUAGCUUGACAAGGUCAGCGUGAUCCAGCCAAACCAACACAGCGAAUGUGAAAGAACUCAUCUGGGACGACAUAGAUCUCUCCGUCUUUCUCGGUCUGAGUGGUCGACUCCAGGCUCUUACCACAUUUUGCACAGCGGAAGCAGUUCUUGUGCCACGGCUACGAGGAGAAAGAGAGAACUUUGAUCGGAUACCUUCCUACUACAGCAUUCAGAUCAUUCUGUAAAAACUCUUAGUGGUGGAUAUCUGAUUUUGGAAUGAAACUGAAGCUCUUUCUGUACCAGAACCUCCCGUUUUCUGCCAGUGGUGGGAAAGUGAGAACCGCGGCCCCGGAGCGAUGCUUAUCAGAGGGUGACCGCCAGCUCCAGUGGCCCCUGAAUGAAACCCUUUGUGGCCAGAGGACAGAGAGGACGGAGAGGAGGGAGAGGAGGGAGAGGAGGGAGAGCGCGAUCCUGCUGGUUGCAUAAUAAACUCUUUCAUAACCGUCACCACCUGACGUCUGAGGCAGGAGUAGGUGACUCAGGCGUUCACCAAACCAGCUGGGAACUGCUGAAGCCAAGCUGGAGAGGCUGGAGAAGACUAAAAGAUGUAUGUCAAGGUUCCUUUCCUUUCCCACAGGUUUGCGGUUGAGGCAGUGGGAACCAGAGAAGGAUGCAGGGGGAAGGGCAGAAGCAGCGGUUUCAAACACAGUUUUGACCCACUUUUGAAAAAGUGAAGCCAAAAUAUCCCAGAUACAUGAGCCGCCGUCUGAUUCUGACAUCAUUUGGAGCCGGAGUCUGCGCGGUAGUGAUCGGGUUGCCAAUCACGAGGCGAGCACAGCCACAGUUUGUUAGCGUGAGCCACCUAGCUGCUACGUUAACACCACUGUAGCUGUUUGGCUACAGCCCAACUACAUUUAUGAUCAAAUGUUCUAUUACACAGACUGGUGACGGUUAUAGAAAGUUAAAAUUACAUCUCCUCUCUUGUACAAUUCAGAGCCUCCGGCUGCACGACUACUUCACUCAGAGCAGCUGUCAAUCACAGCUGUCAAUCAUGACGUCUCACCCCCCUUUAAAAACAAACUUAUAUCAGAAAAUGAAUA